RNAcentral lists this ribosomal RNA (1209 nucleotides) under Spinturnix psi. RNAcentral describes it as "eukaryotic LSU rRNA". It matches the Rfam family "Eukaryotic large subunit ribosomal RNA", at positions 127 to 1229 of the family's 3401-position model. The record is from RNAcentral. Lineage: Eukaryota; Metazoa; Arthropoda; Arachnida; Mesostigmata; Spinturnicidae.
UUUUUCACAAUAAGGGAUGAGGUGUAGAGGAGCUGUGCGUUUGGCUGGCUGCCGGCCCAGUUAUUAUUGAGUGAGUGCUCAGAGAAGGUGGAAGGCCUGUAUGGCCGGGUGGGCUAGCCAAACAGCGGCUCCGGAGAGUCUAGUUGUUUGAGAGUGCAACUUAAAGUUGGUGGUAAAUUUCAUCAAAGGUUAAAUAUCUGGAGGGACUAAUAGCGAACAAGUACCGUGAGGGAAAGUUGAAAAGGACUCUGGAGAGGGAGUUAAAAAGUACGUGAAACCACAUUGAGUAAAACGGAUAACCGUGUCGUUGGGGCGCGUUCUAUCAAUAGCGACGCUGGUCUUGAUACGUCGCAUCUCUAGGCUGCGUCAGCAGCUGAACGCUUGCGGCUGACAGGACUGGCGUNUCUGUGCACUAGUGCGCGUUCGCCAAUUGAGAAGCCACGAGGUCGCCACCUUGGCCCGCAGCAGUUCGUACCUGGUGCGUAGUUGUGAGCCUCUCUGGCUGACAUCGUGGUUUGGCCUCUGGCAGGGCCGCGGACCUAUUUGUCGGGCUGUGGUGCCGCUCCCGUCUAGUUGUGUUGAUUCGCUUCUACUGGGGGCGCGCCGUUAUUCCCUAUGACAGGUCCGCCAUCAAUGUGUGACAUGAGUUAUUCGACCCGUCUUGAAACACGGAUGAGUGAGCAGGCUCAAAGGCGAAGUGAAAUGCGAACGUUUUGCUAAUUGUGGUUAGGCCGCAACAAAGCGAAAGACCAUUGGUACUUUCUGGUACUUUUGGACCGCGAGCGUGACGUCAGAGACCCGAAAGAUGGUGAGCUAUAUCUGGUCAAGAUGAAGCCAGAGGAAACUCUGGUGGAGGUCUGAAGUUGUUCUGACGUGCAAAUCGAUAAUCUGAUCUGGGUAUAGGGGCGAAAGACUAAUCGAACCAUCUAGUAGCUGGUUCCUUCCGAAGUUUCCCUCAGGAUAGCAAGCGUACGAGUUAGUUUCAUCCCGUAAAGCGAAUGAUUAGAGGUAUUGGGGUGUAUACAGCUUCAACCUAUUCUCAAACUUUUAAUGGGUGUGAGUGUUCUUUCUUUAUUGAAGAACGCUGCUAAAUAAGUAUGCUUAGUGGGCCAUUUUUGGUAAGCAGAACUGGCGCUGUGGGUUGAACCAAUUGUCGAGUUAAAGUGCCUAAAGCCCAAAUGCUCAUGAGAUCUGUAAAGGGUGUUAGUU